CGCUGGUCUGAAUGUAGAGUUAUUUCAGUUGAUUGUUCAGUCAGAUAGAAUUCCUUGUUCUACGUCCCCCACUCACCUCUACUGCAGUUGACUAGUCUUUU
This 101-nucleotide Y RNA is filed under the name Theropithecus gelada (gelada). RNAcentral describes it as "Y RNA (ENSTGEG00000010259.1)". It matches the Rfam family "Y RNA". From Rfam's summary of the family: Y RNAs are components of the Ro ribonucleoprotein particle (Ro RNP), in association with Ro60 and La proteins. The record is from Rfam by way of RNAcentral. Lineage: Eukaryota; Metazoa; Chordata; Mammalia; Primates; Cercopithecidae.